This 278-nucleotide ribosomal RNA is filed under the name uncultured bacterium. RNAcentral describes it as "partial 16S ribosomal RNA". It matches the Rfam family "Bacterial small subunit ribosomal RNA", at positions 511 to 788 of the family's 1533-position model. The record is from RNAcentral.
GCCGCCGCGGUAAUACGGAAGGUCCAGGCGUUAUCCGGAUUUAUUGGGUUUAAAGGGAGCGUAGGCCGCCCCUUAAGCGUGUUGUGAAAUGCCGCGGCUCAACCGUGGCACUGCAGCGCGAACUGGGGGGCUUGAGUGCACGCAACGCAGGCGGAAUUCGUGGUGUAGCGGUGAAAUGCUUAGAUAUCACGAAGAACUCCGAUUGCGAAGGCAGCUUGCGGGAGUGCGACUGACGCUGAAGCUCGAAGGUGCGGGUAUCGAACAGGAUUAGAUACCCC